RNAcentral lists this ribosomal RNA (398 nucleotides) under uncultured bacterium. Its description in RNAcentral is "bacterial SSU rRNA". It matches the Rfam family "Bacterial small subunit ribosomal RNA", at positions 30 to 426 of the family's 1533-position model. The record is from RNAcentral.
AUUGAACGCUGGCGGCAUGCCUUACACAUGCAAGUCGAACGGCAGUACGGGAGCUUGCUCCUGGUGGCGAGUGGCGAACGGGUGAGUAAUACAUCGGAACGUACCCUGAAGUGGGGGAUAACGUAGCGAAAGUUACGCUAAUACCGCAUAUUCUGUGAGCAGGAAAGAGGGGGAUCGCAAGACCUCUUGCUUUAGGAGCGGCCGAUGUCGGAUUAGCUAGUUGGUGAGGUAAAGGCUCACCAAGGCGACGAUCCGUAGCGGGUCUGAGAGGAUGAUCCGCCACACUGGGACUGAGACACGGCCCAGACUCCUACGGGAGGCAGCAGUGGGGAAUUUUGGACAAUGGGCGCAAGCCUGAUCCAGCCAUGCCGCGUGAGUGAAGAAGGCCUUCGGGUUGU